AACGAACGCUGGCGGCAGGCCUAACACAUGCAAGUCGAACGAAGUCUUCGGACUCAGUGGCGCACGGGUGAGUAACACGUGGGAAUAUACCUUACGCUGGGGGAUAACAUCGGGAAACUGAUGCUAAUACCGCAUACGCCCUUCGGGGGAAAGAUUUAUCGGCGAAAGAUUAGCCCGCGUCCGAUUAGCUAGUUGGUGAGGUAAUGGCUCACCAAGGCUCCGAUCGGUAGCUGGUCUGAGAGGAUGACCAGCCACACUGGGACUGAGACACGGCCCAGACUCCUACGGGAGGCAGCAGUGGGGAAUAUUGGACAAUGGGCGCAAGCCUGAUCCAGCCAUGCCGCGUGAGUGAUGAAGGCCUUAGGGUUGUAAAGCUCUUUCACCCACGACGAUGAUGACGGUAGUGGGAGAAGAAGCCCCGGCUAACUUCGUG
RNAcentral lists this ribosomal RNA (433 nucleotides) under uncultured bacterium. RNAcentral describes it as "partial 16S ribosomal RNA". It matches the Rfam family "Bacterial small subunit ribosomal RNA", at positions 29 to 507 of the family's 1533-position model. The record is from RNAcentral.